GAUGAACGCUGGCGGCGUGCCUAAUACAUGCAAGUCGAGCGAACGGACGAGACGCUUGCUUCUCUCAUGUUAGCGGCGGACGGGUGAGUAACACGUGUAUACUCUCCCUAUAAGUCUGGGAUAACUUCGGGAAACCGUCGCUAAUACCGGAUAAUAUCCUGCACCGUAUUGUUCAAAAGUGAAAGACGGUGUUUCUGUCACUUAUAGAUGGUUCCGCGCUUCAUUAGCUAGUUGGUAAGGUAACGGCCUACCAAGGCGACGAUGCAUAACCGACCUGAGUGAGUGAUAGGCGGCCCUGGAGCGGAGACGGGGUCCAGAGUCCUACGGGAGGCAGCAGUAGGGAACCUUCCGCAAUAGUGGAAAACCUGACGGAGCAACCCGGAGUGUGUGGUGACGGUGUGCGGUGCGUGAAACUCGGUUAUUGGGGAAGAACAGCUGUCUAAUGAACUGAGCAGAGCUUGACGGUACCGAAUCAGGAAGCAACGGCUAACUACGUG
Molecule: ribosomal RNA, 497 nt
Filed under: uncultured bacterium
Lineage: Bacteria
Description: partial 16S ribosomal RNA
Rfam family: Bacterial small subunit ribosomal RNA
Source: RNAcentral